AAUCCAUGGGUAACAAGGAAUUUUGAUAGGAGGAGACUACGAAGGCUAUAAAAAGGGGUCUAGGCAUAUAAGAAAAAUUAUCCAAGAGAGGAGAGGCAUAAAGGGAGCAGCAAGCAAGCUUUGAGUUGCGGGAAGGCUUCUAAGAAAGAGGUGCUUAGAAAAGAGCUUUGUUCCUGUACUAUCUCCAUGCCUACACCAUCUUGAAGAUCAGAUCCAA
Molecule: long non-coding RNA, 217 nt
Filed under: Elaeis guineensis (African oil palm)
Lineage: Eukaryota; Viridiplantae; Streptophyta; Magnoliopsida; Arecales; Arecaceae
Description: long non-coding RNA (EGUI_LNC041756)
Source: RNAcentral